AACGCGAAGAACCUUACCAGGUCUUGACAUCCUCUGACAACCCUAGAGAUAGGGCUUUCCCCUUCGGGGGACAGAGUGACAGGUGGUGCAUGGUUGUCGUCAGCUCGUGUCGUGAGAUGUUGGGUUAAGUCCCGCAACGAGCGCAACCCUUGACCUUAGUUGCCAGCAUUCAGUUGGGCACUCUAAGGUGACUGCCGGUGACAAACCGGAGGAAGGUGGGGAUGACGUCAAAUCAUCAUGCCCCUUAUGACCUGGGCUACACACGUGCUACAAUGGAUGGUACAAAGGGCUGCAAGACCGCGAGGUUUAGCCAAUCCCAUAAAACCAUUCUCAGUUCGGAUUGUAGGCUGCAACUCGCCUACAUGAAGCCGGAAUCGCUAGUAAUCGCGGAUCAGCAUGCCGCGGUGAAUACGUUCCCGGGCCUUGUA
RNAcentral lists this ribosomal RNA (428 nucleotides) under uncultured Bacillota bacterium. RNAcentral describes it as "bacterial SSU rRNA". It matches the Rfam family "Bacterial small subunit ribosomal RNA", at positions 958 to 1385 of the family's 1533-position model. The record is from RNAcentral. Lineage: Bacteria; Bacillati; Bacillota.